GUUAAUCGGAAUUACUGGGCGUAAAGCGUGCGUAGGCGGUUUGUUAAGCAAGAUGUGAAAGCCCAGGGCUCAACCUUGGAACUGCAUUUUGAACUGGCAAACUAGAGUACUGUAGAGGGUGGUGGAAUUUCCAGUGUAGCGGUGAAAUGCGUAGAGAUUGGAAGGAACAUCAGUGGCGAAGGCGGCCACCUGGACAGAUACUGACGCUGAGGCACGAAAGCGUGGGGAGCAAACAGGAUUAGAUACCCUGGUAGUCCACGCCGUAAACGAUGUCAACUAGCUGUCUGUGGACUUGAUCCGUGGGUAGCGGAGCUAACGCAUUAAGUUGACCGCCUGGGGAGUACGGCCGCAAGGUUAAAACUCAAAUGAAUUGACGGGGGCCCGCACAAGCGGUGGAGCAUGUGGUUUAAUUCGAUGCAACGCGAAGAACCUUACCAUCCCUUGACAUCCACAGAAUUCGCUAGAGAUAGCUUAGUGCCUUCGGGAACUGUGAGACAGGUGCUGCAUGGCUGUAGUCAGCUCGUGUUGUGAAAUGUUGGGUUAAGUCCAGCAACGAGCGCAACCCCUAUCCUUAUUUGCCAGCGCGUUAUGSCGGGAACUCUAAGGAGACUGCCGGUGAUAAACCGGAGGAAGGUGGGGACGACGUCAAGUCAUCAUGGCCCUUACGGGAUGGGCUACACACGUGCUACAAUGGCAAGUACAGAGGGCAGCAAUACCGCGAGGUGGAGAGAAUCCCCCAAAGCAUGUCGUAGUCCGGAUUGGAGUCUGCAACUCGACUCCAUGAAGUCGGAAUCGCUAGUAAUCGUAGAUCAGAAUGAUACGGUGAAUACGUUCCCGGGCCUUGUACACACCGCCCGUCACACCAUGGGAGUGGGAU
This 877-nucleotide ribosomal RNA is filed under the name Thalassomonas sp. MGP-40. Its description in RNAcentral is "bacterial SSU rRNA". It matches the Rfam family "Bacterial small subunit ribosomal RNA", at positions 540 to 1416 of the family's 1533-position model. The record is from RNAcentral. Lineage: Bacteria; Pseudomonadati; Pseudomonadota; Gammaproteobacteria; Alteromonadales; Colwelliaceae.